Molecule: long non-coding RNA, 3033 nt
Organism: Lotus japonicus
Lineage: Eukaryota; Viridiplantae; Streptophyta; Magnoliopsida; Fabales; Fabaceae
Exons: 8
Source: RefSeq, a predicted model, not a curated record
UUCACUUCUGCACUGUUUCUCCCCAUCUUUAAUCGCGUGAUUCUUCUCCAUUUCUACCCACUCCACCGUACCAUUCAUCUUGAUUUCUCUUCAACAGCUCAUAGUUUCCCAUCUACUGUCGUCAUCUCGCGUCUCUGCUUCCUUCAAUUGCAUCAUCGCCGACGCUCGCCGUUCCGUGUUCAAGGAGAUUUCGCUCGCCAGAAAUGGAGGAACCAACCAGAUUUCGACAAGCUCCCUUCAUCACUGUUGUUUGAUCAUCCUCCUUUCUUAAUUCCAGGUCUGAAUGCAUUCCCAAGGAGCAAAUCACGGAUGCACAGUCCUUUGAAAUGGUUCAGUGUUGUUCAGGGAGGAAGAGAUUCAGAUAUAUAAAAUUGUGGAAAGGGUCCAACUUAAGGUUUUCGGGUUUUAAAAUUGGGGAAAACUCCUUCAAAGUCCAUGCCUAAAGUACCUUUUGGCAUGAACGUUUUCAGAAUGAUUGCUUGCUCAAGUUGCUAUACCAUGUGAUGUUGCAUAUUUAGAUCAUGUUGUCUUCAUAGCAAGGUGUUUUCUUUCAUCAAGGGAAGGUUGAAGAAAGAUCUAGGUGAAAUCCAUAUUCAGUCCCAGUAAUAGAGAAGAAUGGUUGAAUUUUCCUCCCCAACCUUCUCAUGCAGGGUUAUGGAGCGCAGUCCGCUGAAGAGAAGCAGAGGCUUUUGAAGUUGAUGAGAAAUCUCAAUUUCAAUGGGGAAUCUGGUUCAGAGACAUAUACGCCCACCACCCGAACUUUAGGUGGAGUGGCUGCAUCAGAUGGGCUUUACUCUCCGGAGUUCAGAGGGGAUUUUGGAGCUGGGCUUUUGGAUCUUCAUGCUAUGGAUGUUACAGAGCUUUUGUCUGAGGACUUGGGAGCAAAGCUCCAACUGUGGAAGUAAGGUAAAAGAAUUUGACUAUCGAGUCUGAUUCCUAUGUUGGUAGCAGAGCUUUGCCAACCCUACCAAAUUCUGCAUUGGACAUUGUAGAAAUACUUCUUGGUGCCUAUGGGAUUAGUACUGCUAAGAGAGCAACGCUCAUAAUUCUUAAGAAUGUCUCUAGCAUUGUUAAACCCGGAAGGUACUACAAACAAGUUCUUAUCCAUAGAGUGGUCAGAAUUGAACAAUCUUUAGAAUGGUUUUUUAUAGGUUAUUUGACUUUUCUAUACAGCUCUUCAUUUUAUAACCCUUAUAGGUUGUUCUGUGUUGUCUUGAAAAUUUAGUUAAGGGUUUAGGCAAGAAUUAGUUAAUGCUUUGAGACUCAAUCAGUUUACAUAUAAAAACUUAGAUGGAUAUUGCUUCUUUAGAGGGUGUUCAAAUUCCAUAAUCCAAUGCCUUUAAAGACAAUUUUAUUGAAAAAGAAAUCAAUGAACCAAUGACCCUUCUAACACUUGGUGGAGGCAAUUAGUGAGAUUUAUAGGAAGUUUACAACUAAAUGCAUUGUUUCGAAGUAAUUUGUUGCUUUCUAUCUUUGUCAUGCUUUUUUUUUUCAUUGUCUGUAUGAGUUUGUUUUGAUAAAGUUUUGUACACAAAUUUAUGCUUGGCUUUGUACCACUACAGCAGAGCCUCAUAUCUACCAUUUUCUCAAUAAGCCCUUGAAUGAGGAAUCUUUGUCAAUUGAGAAGUGGAAAGAAUCAAAGAAGUUGAGAUGAAAGGGCUAGACCACUGGAUGGAUGUUGAAGCCUUGAACAAUAAACAAAAACAAGAAAUUGGUAAAGAAACUAGCGAAAAAGUACUAUCCUUUUUAGCUUCUGAAGUUGUUACCAAGCAGAUUCCUCGUGAGCUUUGAUAAUCUCUAUUUCUCUAUUUGAUGGAACUAAAAUAUGAUCAGUGUAUCAUGGGAUCGAUAGCGUGAGUUCUCAUUAAAAAAGACUGGUUCUGCGAAGAGAUUUUGGCCAUGUUACCAUUAUAGUUUUAAUUGUAGGUAAAUUGUUUAUUAAAUUGUUUGUGUGACCAAGUGCAGGGUGAUAAUCUCACUCUGCAAGGGACUUUGAAGAAUGACAUUAUACAUAUGCUACUCCUUAACGUUGAUAACUUUUAUGAUUAUAUUUUGAUUAUUUUCCUUGAAUUGGCUUGAUCAUUAUUUAAUUCCCCUUAGAAUUAUGACAUUAAGAUUUGAAUAAUUACAUUAUAUCAGAUUUUAGGUAACCUGGUUAUGGGUUCCUUUCUAUUUUGCUCAACUCUGUGAAGACAAGGGUCUCACCUUCAUAGGGCCUGCAGUAUCUGCCAUCAGAGAUAUGGGUGACAAGAGGAACCUACCAGUACCAGCAUCAUUAUCUUUGUGUUGUGCCUUUAAGCAGCUUAGUUAAGUACUUAGUGUUAGAAUAAUAGGCAUUUAUCCUAUAAGCUUAUUUAUAAGUUGAAAUAAUAAAAUACAUAUGCUGCCUUAGUUUUGUUCCCUAAAGAAUUAUCUUAUAAUUAUGUAUGGUGUUCCAAAUCUUUAGACUUGAUGAAUUGUUCUUAUCUAAUAAACAGGUGUGGGAUGCCCUCAAGGUUCUUGAUGCUGCUGAUAUUGAUAAACCAGAGGCUUCAUUGGGCUUGGAGCAUUUGGUGUCGGGUUUUUAAUUGGUUGGGGGUCUGUUUUGUAUGUCCUGGUAGUCCAGUUGAUCAUCUUAUGUCCUUUGCUGGUUUGUUUCUGUCGGUCAACAAGGAUGGUAUUUUAUCAAUAUGGCUGGUAGUAGUUUGGCACAUUUUGGUGGGAAGGAAUGAAGCAGUUCUCAGAGAAGGGGUUUUUCUGCUGAGUGCAUUUUUGACUUGGUCAAGUUAAAAGUGUGGGAAUGGUUGAGAGCCAGAAGCUGCCACUUCACACGUGCUACCUAUGAAUUGAUUGAACAAAUCCUCUGCCUACUCGAUUAUUAGAUGGAAGGAAUUCUUAAGUUUGUUGGUUCUGUUAAUUUUUACUGAUACACUUGCAAUACUUUGGCUCUCAGUCAAAUUAUUGAAUCUCUUUUUGUAAAGGUUUGGGGUAGCCUUUUACCCCCUUGAAUGUAUCAUUGCAAAUUAAAAAAAAAAACACAUCUUUGUUGCUCAA